UGGGGAAUAUUGGACAAUGGGCGAAAGCCUGAUCCAGCCAUGCCGCGUGUGUGAAGAAGGUCUUCGGAUUGUAAAGCACUUUAAGUUGGGAGGAAGGGCAGUAAGCGAAUACCUUGCUGUUUUGACGUUACCGACAGAAUAAGCACCGGCUAACUCUGUGCCAGCAGCCGCGGUAAUACAGAGGGUGCGAGCGUUAAUCGGAUUUACUGGGCGUAAAGCGUGCGUAGGCGGCUGAUUAAGUCGGAUGUGAAAUCCCUGAGCUUAACUUAGGAAUUGCAUUCGAUACUGGUUAGCUAGAGUGUGGGAGAGGAUGGUAGAAUUCCAGGUGUAGCGGUGAAAUGCGUAGAGAUCUGGAGGAAUACCGAUGGCGAAGGCAGCCAUCUGGCCUAACACUGACGCUGAGGUACGAAAGCAUGGGGAGCAAACAGG
Molecule: ribosomal RNA, 429 nt
Filed under: Pseudomonadota bacterium
Lineage: Bacteria; Pseudomonadati; Pseudomonadota
Description: Proteobacteria bacterium partial 16S ribosomal RNA
Rfam family: Bacterial small subunit ribosomal RNA
Source: RNAcentral